CAUCUCUGGCUCCAAUGCAUUUAACCGAGAAAGUCUUUCGCCUUUUACUAAAGAUUUCCGUGCAUUAGAGCAGUUAUGACUAUUUUCCAAUUUUUUUAAUACUCAAAGAGUU
RNAcentral lists this small nuclear RNA (112 nucleotides) under Angiostrongylus costaricensis. RNAcentral describes it as "U5 spliceosomal RNA". It matches the Rfam family "U5 spliceosomal RNA". Rfam says of the family: U5 RNA is a component of both types of known spliceosome. The precise function of this molecule is unknown, though it is known that the 5' loop is required for splice site selection and p220 binding, and that both the 3' stem-loop and the Sm site are important for Sm protein binding and cap methylation. The record is from Rfam by way of RNAcentral. Lineage: Eukaryota; Metazoa; Nematoda; Chromadorea; Rhabditida; Metastrongylidae.